AACGCAAAUUGCACUCCCUGGUAUUCCGGGGAGUAUGCCUGUUUGAGGGUCAGCAAAAGCAAAAUCGUGAUGUCUCUCCGGUGACAUCUCGGAAUUGGGCCCACUUAACCUUUUUGGUUUAAGUGGCCUGAAAUUGACGUUUCUCUUGCGCAUCUUGGACGUGUAUAAUUCGUUUAUCCGUUUUCGAUGCCAAUCUUUUAUUAGGUACGGACACGUUUCGUGAUCUCGUACCCAUAAUUUCUCGUAUUUUGACCUCAAAUCAGGUAGGAGUACCCGCUGAACUUAA
This 286-nucleotide unclassified non-coding RNA is filed under the name uncultured fungus. RNAcentral's name for it is "partial contains 5.8S ribosomal RNA, internal transcribed spacer 2, and large subunit ribosomal RNA". The stretch from base 1 to 52 matches the Rfam family "5.8S ribosomal RNA", at positions 103 to 154 of the family's 154-position model. The record is from RNAcentral. Lineage: Eukaryota; Fungi.